UCCAAACAGCACAAAAAAAAAAAAAAAUCCCAAUUUUAUAUAACUAAUCAUGGUUAAUCUACCCAACCAAACGAGCCCUGUGUUUAUUAGCAAGCCAUGCUUCUCAAGUCUGUUUCUUCACUUUUGACAUCUCCAUUCGGCAGAAUAUUUUGUGCUUGUGCAAAUUGUUUGGACUCCUGCAUACGUUACAAUCGGUUUAGAGCUUAGAGUAGCAAACCAAGUAUACAUUUCCAUUUCUUACAAAUUGGCACAUUUCCGACGAAAAAAAAUUAAAGGACGGAAAAUAUUGAGCUAUACGAACAAAAAAUUAAAUACCAUAUAUGAACAUAUAUCAAUGCUAUUUACCCUACAUGUACUUAAUAACAAUUUUGACUUGAUAAAACAAAAUCGUGGUGAUUUGGAACUAAAUAAUCAUGUUCAUAACCACUUGAAAAACACUAUUCAAUCAAUCACUUCAACAUACCAAAUUAAUCGAUUUUCCCCAAUCCACUAAAUUCAAAAAGAACAUAAUUGACUGAAAUGAAUAUUUGUUACUUGAGUUAGGUUUUCCUUCUGCGACGGUGGUGCCCGGAGGAAUCAACAGGAGAAUCGUCGAUUGAUUGUGUGACCGUGACACUGUUUCCCCCCGCCGCCGCCGCCUGCAGCAGCCGUCGAAAUCUGUAGUCUGUUAGGAUUCCAUGUCUCCCAAUCUGGAUAUCUGCCGGUCUUGUUCGUUGUUACCGGCAGUAAUUCGGUGGAUCAAAGUUUU
Molecule: long non-coding RNA, 748 nt
Filed under: Erythranthe guttata (spotted monkey flower)
Lineage: Eukaryota; Viridiplantae; Streptophyta; Magnoliopsida; Lamiales; Phrymaceae
Description: long non-coding RNA (EGUT_LNC001631)
Source: RNAcentral